AUUGAACGCUGGCGGCAUGCUUUACACAUGCAAGUCGAACGGCAGCGCGGGCUUCGGCCUGGCGGCGAGUGGCCAACGGGUGAGUAAUGCAUCGGAACGUGCCCAGUAGUGGGGGAUAGCCCGGCUAAAGCCGGAUUAAUACCGCAUACGAUCUGAUGGUGAAAGCGGGGGACCGAAAGGCCUCGCGCUAUUGGAGCGGCCGAUGACGGAUUAGCUAGUUGGUUGGGUAAAGGCUUACCAAGGCGACGAUCCGUAGCUGGUCUGAGAGGACGACCAGCCACACUGGGACUGAGACACGGCCCAGACUCCUACGGGAGGCAGCAGUAGGGAAUUUUGGGCAAUGGGGGCAACCCUGAUCGAGCCACGCCGCGUGAGGGAAGAAGGCCUUCGGGUUGUAAAACGCUUUUGUUCGGGAAGAAAUACUCUGGGCUAAUACCCCGGGGGGAUGACGGUACCGGAAGAAUAAGCACCGGCUAACUACGUG
This 484-nucleotide ribosomal RNA is filed under the name uncultured bacterium. RNAcentral's name for it is "partial 16S ribosomal RNA". It matches the Rfam family "Bacterial small subunit ribosomal RNA", at positions 29 to 507 of the family's 1533-position model. The record is from RNAcentral.